CCUACGGGUGGCAGCAGUGGGGAAUAUUGCACAAUGGGCGCAAGCCUGAUGCAGCCAUGCCGCGUGUGUGAAGAAGGCCUUCGGGUUGUAAAGCACUUUCAGCGGGGAGGAAGGCGUUAAGGUUAAUAACCUUGUCGAUUGACGUUACCCGCAGAAGAAGCACCGGCUAACUCCGUGCCAGCAGCCGCGGUAAUACGGAGGGUGCAAGCGUUAAUCGGAAUUACUGGGCGUAAAGCGCACGCAGGCGGUCUGUCAAGUCGGAUGUGAAGUCCCCGGGCUCAACCUGGGAACUGCAUUCGAAACUGGCAGGCUAGAGUCUUGUAGAGGGGGGUAGAAUUCCAGGUGUAGCGGUGAAAUGCGUAGAGAUCUGGAGGAAUACCGGUGGCGAAGGCGGCCCCCUGGACAAAGACUGACGCUCAGGUGCGAAAGCGUGGGGAGCAAACAGGAUUAGAUACCCGGGUAGUC
RNAcentral lists this ribosomal RNA (465 nucleotides) under uncultured Klebsiella sp. Its description in RNAcentral is "bacterial SSU rRNA". It matches the Rfam family "Bacterial small subunit ribosomal RNA", at positions 338 to 795 of the family's 1533-position model. The record is from RNAcentral. Lineage: Bacteria; Pseudomonadati; Pseudomonadota; Gammaproteobacteria; Enterobacterales; Enterobacteriaceae.